RNAcentral lists this ribosomal RNA (256 nucleotides) under uncultured bacterium. RNAcentral's name for it is "partial 16S ribosomal RNA". It matches the Rfam family "Bacterial small subunit ribosomal RNA", at positions 79 to 334 of the family's 1533-position model. The record is from RNAcentral.
UCUUCCUUUGUCUGGCGACCGGCGCACGGGUGAGUAACACGUAUCCAACCUGCCCUUUACUCGGGGAUAGCCUUUCGAAAGAAAGAUUAAUACCCGAUAGCAUAAUGAUUCCGCAUGGUUUCAUUAUUAAAGGAUUCCGGUAAAGGAUGGGGAUGCGUUCCAUUAGGUUGUUGGUGGGGUAACGGCCCACCAAGCCUUCGAUGGAUAGGGGUUCUGAGAGGAAGGUCCCCCACAUUGGAACUGAGACACGGUCCAA